GAUGAACGCUGGCGGCGUGCCUAAUACAUGCAAGUCGAGCGAACAGACGAGGAGCUUGCUCCUCUGACGUUAGCGGCGGACGGGUGAGUAACACGUGGAUAACCUACCUAUAAGACUGGGAUCACUUCGGGAAACCGGAGCUAAUACCGGAUAAUAUAUUGAACCGCAUGGUUCAAUAGUGAAAGACGGUUUUGCUGUCACUUAUAGAUGGAUCCGCGCCGCAUUAGCUAGUUGGUAAGUUAACGGCUUACCAAGGCAACGAUGCGUAGCCGACCUGAGAGGGUGAUCGGCCACACUGGAACUGAGACACGGUCCAGACUCCUACGGGAGGCAGCAGUAGGGAAUCUUCCGCAAUGGGCGAAAGCCUGACGGAGCAACGCCGCGUGAGUGAUGAAGGUCUUCGGAUCGUAAAACUCUGUUAUUAGGGAAGAACAAAUGUGUAAGUAACUAUGCACGUCUUGACGGUACCUAAUCAGAAAGCCACGGCUAACUACGUG
RNAcentral lists this ribosomal RNA (497 nucleotides) under uncultured bacterium. RNAcentral's name for it is "partial 16S ribosomal RNA". It matches the Rfam family "Bacterial small subunit ribosomal RNA", at positions 28 to 507 of the family's 1533-position model. The record is from RNAcentral.